This 281-nucleotide unclassified non-coding RNA is filed under the name Commiphora karibensis. Its description in RNAcentral is "partial miscellaneous RNA". The record is from RNAcentral. Lineage: Eukaryota; Viridiplantae; Streptophyta; Magnoliopsida; Sapindales; Burseraceae.
CCUUCGCGACGCCGACGCCCGCAUGAAGCCCGACGGGCCGUGAGGCCGCGGGCUCAAGACGGGCACGGCGGUCGUUCGCGUCGAGGGACAAAAUGCGUUGCUCGGGCGAACGGAGUCUCGUAACGAGACCCCACGCCCGCGCACAACGUUCCGCAUCCGAGAGAACGGGCAUAGCACACCGUGGGCCGAGGCAGCCAAGCGACUGGGCGAGGCUUGCCGGGGACACGGGGCGUGCCUGACGUCCACCCCGCAACCCGCGAGGGCUGGGGGCGGAGAGGGAC